This 380-nucleotide long non-coding RNA is filed under the name Equus asinus (donkey). RNAcentral describes it as "lncRNA (ENSEASG00005031642.1)". Lineage: Eukaryota; Metazoa; Chordata; Mammalia; Perissodactyla; Equidae. The record is from RNAcentral.
UGUGGAGGUGGUUGGAGAGUCUCUGUGCGUCUUCUUCGGCCGAAUGCAGGCUGAACUCCUUUCUAGAGAGAAAUUUCUCAUCAUUUGGUUACUCUGAGAUAGAGAUCAUAUAAGAAAAACAGAAAAAUUCUUGAUCUUUUUCCCCUUAUUUACUAGUUUAAAUAACAAUUUGGCUCCAUAUCAUCCUCCCAAGGACUGACAAUACCAAAAAGUUGAUGUGGGAAACUGUCUUGUGGUGUCUUCUAAGGCCUAACUGUGACCUGUCUGUGCCAUUCUGUACAGCCAACAGAAAGGAGUGCUGGGGCCGGCCCUGUGGCACAGUGGUUAAGUUCGCACGUUCCACUUCUCAGCGGCCCGGGGUUCGCCAGUUCAGAUCCCGG